UGGGGGAUUUUGCACAAUGGGCGCAAGCCUGAUGCAGCGACGCCGCGUGAGGGAUGAAGGCCUUCGGGUUGUAAACCUCUUUCGCUGGGUUGAAAGGCCAUGCUUUGGGUGUGGUUGAUUUGAACUGGUAAAGAAGUACCGGCUAACUACGUGCCAGCAGCCGCGGUAAUACGUAGGGUACUAGCGUUGUCCGGAUUUAUUGGGCGUAAAGGGCUUGUAGGUGGUUUGUCGCGUCUGUCGUGAAAUCCUGUGGCUUAACCAUGGGCUUGCGGUGGGUACGGGCAGGCUUGAGUGCGGUAGGGGAGACUGGAAUUCCUCGUGUAGCGGUGGAAUGCGCAGAUAUCAGGAGGAACACCGGUGGCGAAGGCGGGUCUCUGGGCCGUUACUGACACUGAGGAGCGAAAGCGUGGGGAGCGAACAGG
This 422-nucleotide ribosomal RNA is filed under the name Fusobacteriota bacterium. RNAcentral describes it as "Fusobacteria bacterium partial 16S ribosomal RNA". It matches the Rfam family "Bacterial small subunit ribosomal RNA", at positions 355 to 776 of the family's 1533-position model. The record is from RNAcentral. Lineage: Bacteria; Fusobacteriati; Fusobacteriota.